GUCUACGGCCAUACCACCCUGAACGCGCCCGAUCUCGUCUGAUCUCGGAAGCUAAGCAGGGUCAGGCCUGGUUAGUACUUGGAUGGGAGAAAGCACAAAAUAAGGUGAGAAA
Molecule: ribosomal RNA, 112 nt
Organism: Nomascus leucogenys (northern white-cheeked gibbon)
Lineage: Eukaryota; Metazoa; Chordata; Mammalia; Primates; Hylobatidae
Source: Ensembl